GUUGCCGUGGCCGAGCGGUUAAGGCGUUGGACUAGAAAUCCAAUGGGAUCUUCCCGCGCAGGUUCGAAUCCUGCCGGCAACG
Molecule: non-coding RNA, 82 nt
Organism: Nematostella vectensis (starlet sea anemone)
Lineage: Eukaryota; Metazoa; Cnidaria; Anthozoa; Actiniaria; Edwardsiidae
Source: Rfam